AAGCUCGUAGUUGAAUUUCGGGAUCAAUGCGUCGGUCGUGCCUUCGGUACGUACUAGCGUCAUUGAUUCCUCCCUUCUGAAGAACCGUGAUGUCAUUAAUUUGGUGUUACGGGGAAUCAGGACUGUUAACCUUGAAAAAAUUAGAGUGUUUAAAGCAGGCUAACGCUUGAAUACAUUAGCAUGGAAUAAUGAAAUAGGACGUUUGAUUCUAUUUUGUUGGUUUCUAGGAUCGACGUAAUGAUUAAUAGGGAUAGUUGGG
This 259-nucleotide ribosomal RNA is filed under the name uncultured Glomus. RNAcentral's name for it is "partial 18S ribosomal RNA". It matches the Rfam family "Eukaryotic small subunit ribosomal RNA", at positions 624 to 886 of the family's 1831-position model. The record is from RNAcentral. Lineage: Eukaryota; Fungi; Glomeromycota; Glomeromycetes; Glomerales; Glomeraceae.